AAGGGAGACCUAAUUCCGGUAGGAGACGAAAAAAAAGUAGUCCCUACCAAGAAUCAAUCCCAAAAGGUCGAAGCGAGGCAAGAUUGGCUUUCAAACUAGGUUCUGGGUUCAAACAAGACCUGAAUCAGGAACAAGGGCUAUUAGCUCAGGUGGUUAGAGCGCACCCCUGAUAAGGGUGAGGUCCCUGGUUCGAGUCCAGGAUGGCCCACCUGCACAGGUGGCAAAAACAAAGAAGCGAGGAAUCAGCGCCUUACCUUACUCAUAUAGUAAGAGAGAAUGCUGGCUCUGAGUAAAGAGUCCAGAGGAACCUUGAAAACUGCAUAGAGCUAGGUGAAAAAGCCAAAAAAGAAGACCGCAA
Molecule: transfer RNA, 358 nt
Filed under: uncultured Microcystis sp.
Lineage: Bacteria; Bacillati; Cyanobacteriota; Cyanophyceae; Chroococcales; Microcystaceae
Description: partial 16S-23S ribosomal RNA intergenic spacer
Rfam family: tRNA (bases 135-208)
Source: RNAcentral